GGGGAUGAGGGGAACUGAAUGAGCACGCCGCGUGAUGGAAGAAGGCUUUCGGGUCGUAAAGCUCUGUUGUCGGGGAAGAACAAGUUACCGGAGUUAACUGCCGGGUGCCUUGACGGUACCUGAACAAAAAGCCCCGGCUAACUACGUGCCAGCAGCCGCGGUAAUACGAA
Molecule: ribosomal RNA, 170 nt
Filed under: uncultured bacterium
Lineage: Bacteria
Description: partial 16S ribosomal RNA
Rfam family: Bacterial small subunit ribosomal RNA
Source: RNAcentral